Long non-coding RNA from Centrocercus urophasianus (Greater sage-grouse), 4329 nucleotides. RefSeq lists it as uncharacterized. The transcript has 3 exons. NCBI's taxonomy places the organism in Eukaryota, Metazoa, Chordata, Aves, Galliformes, Phasianidae. The record is from RefSeq and is a predicted model, not a curated record.
AAGGCAGCAAAUAAUGAUGUUGGUCUCCUCGAGGGACAGGACUUUCUGCAAGACAAUUUUGUGUUUUACUACUACAAAGAUGUUUGAAAAACUCUAUGGCAUGCUACAGACCAGGCAGGAAUUAGUGCCCGUGGAAGCUCACAUUUCUGGCUGCCACUGAAAGUAAAAGAAACAGACACCUGUUUUUUUUACCACAUCUGAAUAAAAGAGAAGAAGUCAUCAUAGGUCUUCAGUGAGAGAACAGUUCAGCUGUUAAGAAACUUCUCUACUUUGGAGGUUUAAAGCAGAAACCUUUCUUCAUGCAAGACUGCAGUAUCGAGAAUUCUACUAAACAUUUUUGUUCACGACAGAUGUUUGUCAUGUUUUGCCAGAGGCUUGAACAGUUCACAGCUUUGCCUGAACAUAAAUUGCUAGUAUAAAAGCAGGAGGUACUGGAAAGCUGACAUACCUGUCCUUUUUCAAUAAAUAACAGAAAAGAACAUCGUCAGCAAUAAUGCCAAUUUUUUAUCUUCUAUUUACAGAACUGCAAAAGAAAUUUACUGAUUUGAAAAUGAAAUGGUCUUGAGGUAACAGAGGAAAUGGCAGCACGCUAAAUUUCAGUUUGGAAUAAUACGGAGGUUUUGUGACUGUACCUCAGGCAGUUAGUCGCCAAGCCUAGGUAAUUCAUGUGCACUAUGUUAAACUUACUUUGUAUUAAAAGAAAAGAACAGGAGAAGUAAUAGAUAUCACACAGGAUAGUGCUUUCUGUCUCUGUUGCUGUUGCAGUCAGAUUUAAACAUUCUCCCUCCAUCCUUCACCAUCCUAUUUUAAUUCUCAGUUAUAAUCAGCAAACUUGAAGUCUUUUAUAAACUAAAUUAAUUUAUAUCCUUUUAGCAUAAAGAACUUCCGCAAGAGGUUCUCUUGUGCAGCGUUAAAGAACGUUGUAAGAAAAUAUCAUGUGCCAAAUACAAAAAUAAUUUCCAAACAGAUCAAGUAAAUAACAGGAUUAAUGUUAAUACAGGGCAUUGCAUUACGUCAUUUGUAAAAGUUCAGUGCUUUCACUUUUUCUGUUAUCAUGUUUUUGCUAUGACUUGUUUCAAAUGUUUAUUUAUCAGAAUACAAUAAGCACAGUCUAAAAAUAAGAGCUGCUAAACUCCUGGAGCUGAGGAUGAGGUUGGUUAACUUCCAGGGGUUAAUCCAAACUAGAUAUUAGGGAGGGACAAAGUGACCUGUGUCAUAACUGGCAAUGCAGUUCUGGCACAGCGUGUCAUUAGUUAACAAAUAUGCAGCAAACUAAACAUUUGUCAUCAAAGCCUAUAAAUUGCCGGAGGUACUUCUUGUAUCUUUGCAUCGCCCAUGCAUGGUCAAAACCAGCGUACGUUUCGCAGGAGAUAGGGAAAACAAUUUUAUACUUGAGUUUUACAGAGGUUGGAGGCACUGAGGUAAAGAUUUCCCACUGUGGAAAAGGACAGUUCACUGCAUAGACUUCAAUAGAGCACCACACUCCAGCCAUUACUAUUGGAAUUUUGCUGAGGCUCUGACUUUCAUUGAUGGCGACUCUCCCUUUUGACAUAAGGGAACAAAUCAGGCUUGAAUGGGAAAAUAUUCUCAAAAAUAUUUUGGCCAUGCUAAAAAGUCCCUCUGGCUUAGCCAGUGAGCAGUACACUGUGUCUGGAAGGAAGUCAGAAGUGGUAUUUCACAUGAUAUUUUCUUUGCGUUUGUAAGAGAGUGAUAGAAGGAAAUAAGUCAUUUAAUUAUUGAACUGUUUUCUUUGGUUUGCUAGUAAGUUGGCAGCUGGAAGCCCUAAAGCUUAGAGCCUUACACAUUUUUCUGUACAUGUUUACCUAGGAGUAAAUAGAUAUUUUCCAAGUUAAUAUUAAUAUGCAUUCAUAUUAAUGUCAAGUAUUAGCACUUGUACUUCUCUCUUGAAAUCAAAGGCUUGUUUUCAUAGGUCUUGGGAAUAGAGUUCAAAAGCCUUUAUACUGAUUAUCUCUGAUAUCUUAGCGUAGGAACGGAAAAAGGAAGGAGAAAAUAUUCCUGAAGGCAAGUCUGUUUAGUAUUUCAGUGUUCUGUUGGAUGAGAGCCAAAAUGUCUUGGGCAAGUGAUAGUUGUAUUUCUAAUCAUACACUUGCCCCAGCAACACUUUGCAUUUGUGUGUCUGUGUGUCUGGAGUGUGUGUGUCUGGAGUGACCACAAUGCUGCUUCCAGCCAUUUCCAUUGCUUUGUCAUCUCCUCAGUAUCUCAAGGGGCUCCAAGACCUGGGCUGUGUCUUCCCAGAGGUCUGUCAGGUGCCUUUGUCCCUCCCUUUGUGGUGUCCAAAAUACCAACCAAGCUUAUCUUAAAACAGUUUACAAAGGUUCAGUGAACACCAGAUGUUUCUUCUCCUUUUUUAUUCUUAGUUUUAAACAUGCUGGCAAGAUCCACAGCUUCUAAAAUCUGCUUCAUUUCCUUGCUCUUUGUAGAGGAGACUGCUCAUCAUUAAUAUAUUCAGCAAACUCAUGCCACUUAAGUGCUCUGUGAUCUUUAAGGAGGAAAUAAACAGAGUAAUACUGAGGACCUGGGGGUCCUGGUGGACAACGGGUUGGCCACAAGCCAGCAGUGUGCCCCUGUGGCCAAGAAGGCCAAUGAUAUCCUGGGGUGCAUUAGAAAGAUCACAUUAUAUAACGUGUUACCAUGCCUUUGUUUACAUAAGCAUACAAAAUGUCUGUGGUCUAACAAAAACAAGCUUUAAGAUGCCUGCAAAGCAGCAUGCAGAAAACCAAAGAUAGCUGAAUUCAGAGGUGCUAAUGACUGAAGUGUUCACUACAGAAAAUAAUUAGCUAGCUAUCUAGAUAAAAGCUAGAGGAGCAUACACAUUCUGUAAUUUACUAGUUAAAAGGAUAAAGAUAAGUAGUGUUUUAAAGAUCCUGGCUUCAAGAGAUUGCAGGGCUGGAUCUGGUUGUGCAGGGGCUGAUCACUAUUUGCAUGCACUCUACUGUACUGCUGGAAAUGAAACAUGAGAAAACCAGUGCUGGGUAAAGCUAUGUAACUGGGCACUGCAGAUGAUCUGGCCUAUGGAGGGGUGGCAUGAGGAGUGAUGGAGUGUUGCUCUGGAGUAUCAGCAGCAGGCAGUGCUCUCUGUUAGCAGGAGUAGCAGCUAGAGACAGAGUAAUGUGUGGCCAGUGGUAGAACCGGGCUCUGGAAAGGGCAGUGAAUGUGAAGCACCACUAUUACCUUUGAAAAAGGUAAUGCUACACGUGCUUGAAUUUUCCCUUUUUGCCAAACUUUGAAUUUUCCAAAGUUAAGUGCAAAUUCUUCCCACAAAAUAGGUGAAUGGAAGGGGCCUGACAUUUUUUGAGUAUUAGAAAGAGUUGGUAAGGGGGCAAACAGCAGAACAGGGGACAGAUAAGAGCAGGGAAAGGGAUGAAAACUAACGAAGGAACCAAAUAUAUCAAGCAGUAACAUACCAUUCAUCUGAUAACGGUAACAAGAGGAGCUAGUUCUUUGUAUUGUAGGAGCAGAAAUAAAUCUACUUACAACAUUAAUCAGUAAUGCUUUGAAUUAAUAAUACAUAAUGGACUAAUGGAUCUGAAAAGUCAUUAGAGGCUUGCAGGAGGCUUACUUCCUGAAAGUAAUCUGCAUGAACAUUAACAUUAGAGCUAGUCAGAGAGCAGAUGAUCUUGUCUGUGUGAUAUUACAUCUGCAAGCGAUAACAAAUGAAUUCUGUUUUUCAUAAAAAAUGCUAAAAUAAGUCUCUUUUAAUAAGUUUCUUCCAAAAUUUUUGCGUGGAGUUUCUAAGUGUUAAUUUCAGAAAAACAGUGAAAGAAUGCAUGUCAUGGGUCACUGCCAGGUUUUGCUCACCAAAAGGCACAUAUUACUCUCAAAAGUAGAACAGAAGCAAGAUGGGAGUAGGUAUUUUUCUCAUUCCUACCACUUAUCGUCUUACAAAAAGAUACUUCUGGAAAAAAAAAAUGUUCUGAAGACAUUCAAAACCUUCAGAAGUUAAUGAUAUUGGUCAUACUACUUUUCUCCUCACAUGACAAGAGAUUUAGUAACUUCAGAACCUACUAUUAAUUUGUUUUCCUUUGUUUUACCCCUCUGGUCCAUUUCUUGUCUUUAUUCUCUGUUUCUGAAAGUUGCUAUUUUGUAGAGAAGUGGUUUAAAAGAACCAAGGGUGUGCUCUAACUGAAAGUAAUAAACAAGGUUAAAUGCACCUAUAAAUAAAACAAAUUCUAAUAAAAUUGAUUUCUGAAAACCAAGCAACUUUCCAGAAGUGUUGAUAAAUCAAAAAUGUAUUAAAAAAUAUACAUAUGCAGAAAGCCUGUAAGAACCAGUGUAACAUAAUAUAAUUUGAUAUCACUUAGCUUCUAU